UUCCAGGUGUCUCAGACAGUAAAGAAUCCACCUGCAAUGUGGGAGACCCAGGUUCAAUACCUGGGUUGGAGA
This is a transfer RNA of Ovis aries (sheep), 72 nucleotides long. It matches the Rfam family "tRNA". Rfam says of the family: Transfer RNA (tRNA) molecules are approximately 80 nucleotides in length. Their secondary structure includes four short double-helical elements and three loops (D, anti-codon, and T loops). Further hydrogen bonds mediate the characteristic L-shaped molecular structure. tRNAs have two regions of fundamental functional importance: the anti-codon, which is responsible for specific mRNA codon recognition, and the 3' end, to which the tRNAs corresponding amino acid is attached (by aminoacyl-tRNA synthetases). tRNAs cope with the degeneracy of the genetic code in two manners: having more than one tRNA (with a specific anti-codon) for a particular amino acid; and 'wobble' base-pairing, i.e. permitting non-standard base-pairing at the 3rd anti-codon position. The record is from Rfam. Lineage: Eukaryota; Metazoa; Chordata; Mammalia; Artiodactyla; Bovidae.